Molecule: ribosomal RNA, 496 nt
Filed under: uncultured bacterium
Lineage: Bacteria
Description: partial 16S ribosomal RNA
Rfam family: Bacterial small subunit ribosomal RNA
Source: RNAcentral
GACGAACGCUGGCGGCGUGCCUAAUACAUGCAAGUUGAGCGAUGAAGCUUGGUGCUUGCACCAAUUUGAAGAGCAGCGAACGGGUGAGUAACGCGUGGGGAAUCUGCCUUUGAGCGGGGGACAACAUUUGGAAACGAAUGCUAUACCGCAUAACAACUUUAAACAUAAGUUUUAAGUUUGAAAGAUGCAAUUGCAUCACUCAAAGAUGAUCCCGCGUUGUAUUAGCUAGUUGGUGAGGUAAAGGCUCACCAAGGCGAUGAUACAUAGCCGACCUGAGAGGGUGAUCGGCCACAUUGGGACUGAGACACGGCCCAAACUCCUACGGGAGGCAGCAGUAGGGAAUCUUCGGCAAUGGACGAAAGUCUGACCGAGCAACGCCGCGUGAGUGAAGAAGGUUUUCGGAUCGUAAAACUCUGUUGGUAGAGAAGAACGUUGGUGAGAGUGGAAAGCUCAUCAAGUGACGGUAACUACCCAGAAAGGGACGGCUAACUACGUG